CUACAAGCUUAAAGCCUGCCUUCAAGGAUCAUACUGUGAACUGAAUGUAAGUAAACUUCUUAUUACUUUUAAGAGAAGACUGUUGUGUCUUUAUUCUUUUUAAGAGGGAAUAAAAAGGGGAGUUACCAGGAUCAAGCAAAACUGGGCAAGCCAGAUUUGAUUGCUUAACUAAAGAGCUUCAAACGAAUCUGCCAACUAGCUUUCUGCAAUACAGAAGGGAAUGAACUUUGCUGCAUGACUCACUAGCUUGAGUUAGGGAGGAUAAUAUUUAAUCAAUAUAGCCUCUCCUACUAUCCACAACAUUCCCACAAUGAUUCUGCUGCAGUCCUGAUCCAGGACACCUGAAAUCCCAUCAAUUGUCAUUAGGGGCACACAGGGCUAACCAAGGAAAAGCAGGCGGCUGCUAUUAAAAUGAGGCUGCAUUUUAAAUUGUAUUUUAACCCGUAUUUUAAUAAACUGGUUUUGUUUUUUGUUUUGUUUUGUUUGUUUGUUUGUUUGUCCCCCCCUUAUGUUUUACUGUAUUUUUAUUGGUGUUAGCUGCCCUGAGCCUGGCUCUGGCUGGGGAGGGCAGGGUAUAAAUAAAUUAUUAUUAUUAUUAUUAUUAAUAAUAAUAAUAAUAAUAAUAUACGGCAGGGGUGGCCAACUCCCAAGAGACUGUGAUCUACCUCAUAGAGUUAAAAACUGGCAGUGAUCUACCCCCUUUUUGGGGGUACAGGCCAACACUGUUGAACUUUUUUUAGGGGAGCCAAAGUUGUUGAGCUUGUUUGGGGGGGGAGCCAGUGAUCUAUCAGUGAUUUACCACAGACAUCAAGUGAUCUACCGGUAGAUCACAAUCUACCUGUUGGACGUGCCUGAUAUACAGCAAGUGGAAUCCUAUUGGCUUCCUGUGUAUGUUACGGUGCUGAAUGCAGCCGCCAAGUCCUGCAAGGUAGCUAAUGAGGCUGACAUCUCAUAAGAAGGUUUCAGCGCCUCCUGUACACUUUAAUAAUUCACCACAAUAUGUAUCAUUGAUGGAGCAACACUCAUCCUUUCGAGUUUUGCAAGCUGUGAUAUGAAACAGCUGCAAAGUGGGAAGGUAAUAGGAACAUGCCAUCAGCUAAGACCGGGGGCAAUGUCAGCUGUAGGAUUUGCCUGUCGAAAGCUCUGCUUUUUUCUUUUACUGUGUUUUGUUUUUCUAGGGUACUGCCCAGGUAGGAGAUGAUAGAAUCGUAGAGUUUUUUGAGGGAAGGGGCAUUGACGGCCAUGCUUUUUUUAAAAAAAUGGUUUAGAUGAACAACUCAAUGAAAGAAUGCAAAAAUGGAACAUGAGAUAUCAGCGGACAAUAGGAAGAAUCAAGGGACACACUCCAAAAGUAGCAGCGCAGAAC
This is a non-coding RNA of Podarcis lilfordi (Lilford's wall lizard), 1366 nucleotides long. Lineage: Eukaryota; Metazoa; Chordata; Lepidosauria; Squamata; Lacertidae. The record is from the annotation of a GenBank genome assembly.